GCUUGUCUCAAAGAUUAAGCCAUGCAUGUCUUAGUGUAAAUAACUCUUAUGAAACUGCGAAUGGCUCAUUAAAUCAGUUAUCAAAUACGUGAUGGUCGCCUACUACAUGGAUAACCGUAGUAAUUCUAGAGCUAAUACAUGCGAAAAGACCCGACUUUGCGGAAGGGUUGCAUUUAUUAGAUACAAAACCAAUGCGGGGCAACCCGGUUGUUGGUGAUUCAUAAUAACUUUUGCGGAUCGCAUGGCCUUGAGCCGGCGACGAAUCAUUCAAAUUUCUGCCCUAUCAACUUUCGAUGGUACGGUAUUGGCCUACCAUGGUUACCACGGGUAACGGGGAAUUAGGGUUCGGUUCCGGAGAGGGGGCCUGAGAAAUGGCCACCACAUCCAAGGAAGGCAGCAGG
This 401-nucleotide ribosomal RNA is filed under the name uncultured Salpingoecidae. Its description in RNAcentral is "partial small subunit ribosomal RNA". It matches the Rfam family "Eukaryotic small subunit ribosomal RNA", at positions 30 to 432 of the family's 1831-position model. Lineage: Eukaryota; Choanoflagellata; Craspedida; Salpingoecidae. The record is from RNAcentral.